CAACGAUGAAGAGUUUGAUCCUGGCUCAGGAUGAACGCUAGCGGCAGGCUUAACACAUGCAAGUCGAGGGGUAACAGGGAGUGCUUGCACUUUGCUGACGACCGGCGCACGGGUGCGUAACGCGUAUACAAUCUGCCUCUUGCUGAGGGAUAGCCCAGAGAAAUUUGGAUUAAUACCUCAUGGUAUCUAUUUAGAGCAUUUUAGAUAGAUUAAAGGUUACGGCAAGAGAUGAGUAUGCGUUCUAUUAGCUAGUAGGUAAGGUAACGGCUUACCUAGGCGACGAUAGAUAGGGGCCCUGAGAGGGGGAUCCCCCACACUGGUACUGAGACACGGACCAGACUCCUACGGGAGGCAGCAGUGAGGAAUAUUGGACAAUGGAGGCAACUCUGAUCCAGCCAUGCCGCGUGCAGGAAG
RNAcentral lists this ribosomal RNA (414 nucleotides) under Flavobacteriaceae bacterium. Its description in RNAcentral is "bacterial SSU rRNA". It matches the Rfam family "Bacterial small subunit ribosomal RNA", at positions 1 to 410 of the family's 1533-position model. Lineage: Bacteria; Pseudomonadati; Bacteroidota; Flavobacteriia; Flavobacteriales; Flavobacteriaceae. The record is from RNAcentral.